AAAAAAGGAGACAUUGUAGUCCUUGCAAAACCACCACAAGUUUACAGAUAUUUUUCACCUUCGAAGAUAAACUUGCAAGCAUUCUCUCUCUAGAUCUCUCUCACCAUUGGCAACUGACUCUUGCAACAAAUCUCUCUGUGUGAAACCAUGGAUGGAGGUGCUGCUGCCAUCGAAGUUCUUCUCCAAAACCUGAUCAACAUUUUGAAGGAAUAAUAUUUUCUACUGCAAGGCCUCGAUGGAGAGGCCCAGCAGCUUCAGACGACUUUGGGCAUGAUUCAAGCCUACUUGAAUGAUGCAAAGAAAAAAUUAUCACCCAUGAUGCUGUCAAGUUCUGGUUGAGGAAGCUUGAAGCUCUGGCUUUCGAUGCUGAUAAUGUCUUGGACGAACUCAGCUAUCAUUUUCUCCACAAAAAAGUAAAGAAGAAGAUGAAACUCAAGCAUAGGAUGGCAUAAUACUUCUCUUCAUUUAAUCGCAGUUCAGGUCGACAUAAUAUGGCUCUUGCAAUAAAAAAAAAAAAACAAUGCGGAGUUUGAGUCUAUGAACAAAUGGGCAAAAGAUCUUGGCCUUCAAGCCAUACUUCUAAAGUCAAAUCUGGCUGAUGACGAACAAUGUUAUGAAAUUAUGAUCUUACGCUUGUUGUUUGCUUUGGUCCAAUGUAGUCUGAUCCUUGCAAUGGAGCACCUUCUCCCAAGACUAGGCGUACUUGAAAGCCCGCUUGUUAUAAUCUUGAUAGCUAUUAUGCGCCUCUUUGAUCAAAUAUGUCUCACCAUUUCCCUAUCAAAAUGAGCUUCAAGCAUAUGAAGACAUUCCUUAUUGUAUCAGUUCCUUUAUGCCAGAACCCGGGAUUUUCGGGAGUUGGAAAUUACAUGAUCUUCGCUAAUGUCAACUCAACAUUUGAAGAUUGUUCGAUUUUUGUUCACUAAGUGGUUUGUUUGUGUAUCUCUCAUUUCUCAAAGAUUUGGGUUGAGUUGAGAUCUCAAUGAGAUGACAAAGGAAGGAAGCGAUAUGCGGUGUGCGACGAUUGUGUUCCAACUCUGCAGCAAAGUUGGAUACGUGUGAAGAGUUGGAGAAAUCGGAAAGACAAAUGGUAGGAUCAACUCUAUUAUGAAGUUGAAUUUUGUAAUACAAUAAAAGAAAAGGUGAAUGUUUUGUAGAGAAAUUGGAGAAGAUCUAGAAAGAAAAAAUGGAGAACUUGACGAACCGCAACUAAGUUGAUAUGAUACUUCUCUUCCUUCUAA
Molecule: long non-coding RNA, 1238 nt
Organism: Salvia hispanica
Lineage: Eukaryota; Viridiplantae; Streptophyta; Magnoliopsida; Lamiales; Lamiaceae
Source: RefSeq, a predicted model, not a curated record